This is a long non-coding RNA of Equus caballus (horse), 2675 nucleotides long. NCBI's taxonomy places the organism in Eukaryota, Metazoa, Chordata, Mammalia, Perissodactyla, Equidae. The record is from Ensembl.
AUAUUCACAGGUCCUGGGCAUUAGGAUGUGGACAUCUUUGGGUUUGUUCUCCUGCCUCCCACAAUGUGUAAUGCCAAAGCGUCCUGUGGAAGCAGCACUCUCCCUCCACAGUGUAUGAAAAGGGCUAUUUGCCACUCCUUUGCCAGCUUCAGAGGACGAUGAUAUCGCAUAUGGUCUUUAUUUACAUUUAUUUAUCUACUAGUGAGCUUAAACAUCUUUCCUACAGAUGCACUUCUUUUCUUCUUUGGUGAAGAAGUUCGUGAGCUUUGCACAAGUUUUAAAGGUCUUUUUAAAGGUUUAAGAGUUAAGAGAGACCAACUCUUUACUUACCAUGUGUGCUGUAAACAUGGGGUGUUUUCUAGCUCAUCGUUUUUCCCUCAACUUUCAUUUUUUUAUUACCUAGUCAAAUCUGUCAAUUAUUUUUUUUAGGGUUUUCCAGCUUUUGUGUUCUGUUUAGAAAAGUAUUCUCUACUACAAGGAAAUAAAAUAUCCCUGGAUUUCUCAGUGGUCUUCUAAGAAGUCCUAGCCCCCUGAGACAUGGAAGAGCAUAGGAUAUAAGGAAGGGAGCGGAUGGCGGUAUCUCCUGUAUAUAAAUGGAGAAAAUGCUCUGUAGCCUUGAGCUACUCUGGCAGGAUACGUGACUGGGCUUUCCUCACCUCACCCCAGAGGACCACCUAAGAUCCCAAUGAAAUGGAAAAAAAGCACCAUGAAAAUGUGCCUACUGCAAGCUGGAUGCAAGGUUUCUAGGGACACUACAAAGCCGAAACUGAGACAGGUGUGUGCCCAGAAACACCACAGCCCGUGAAGACCACCAGCAAUGCGAGCUGUGGGGAAGUGGAGACCACCACGCAUUUGUGCCCCUUCCUGCUGGCUUACCUGUAACUCACAAAAUGAAGGCGGGCCUCAUGAGAUUUUGCUUUCUUUUUCUACUUAUUCAGACAACAUUACAACAUUAAAAAAUAUUAAAUUAAAUGGAAAAAGUACAUACACACCACCCUUAUAUCAUCGUAUUUCUUUUUGUUUUUAAUUCAUUUGAUCAGUGUCGUUGAACACUUGUUUUGUGUUUCCUAUUUACUUAUGUGUAUAUAUUUUAUAUAGUUGUAAUUAAUAGAAUAUAAAGUCUUUUACUCAUAUUCACGUCACAACCCUUGAAACACUAGAUUUUCCCAUGUAGCUAUAAUUUUUAUUUUAUCAUAAAUUCAAUGGUGAAAAAAUAGUUCAUUCUGAGAUAACUUGCUUAACUGUUUCCCUUUUGUGUUUCUUUAAAUUGCUCUCAGGUUUUUGCUAAUGUAAGAAAUGUUACAGCAUGCAUUAACCAUAUUAGCCCAUGUAAGUCAUUUUUGGAGUAAUUAAUUUAGAAUAAAUUUCCAGAACUGAUAUCAAAGGGUCAAAAGUUCUACACAGUUUCAUGGCUCUUAAUACCAAAUUAUGUCCCAAAGACUGCUAUCUAUUUGCAUAGCAAUCAACAAGGUAUGAAUAGACCCAUUUCCCUGGUAAAUCAUUGACUUCGGAUUUUAAUAUUAACUCUUCUGAAAUUUUAAAAUAAUUCUUCAUUGUCUGAAUUAAUCAUUUCUUGUUUUACUGGAAAAUUUGAAUGCUUUCCCAAAUAUUUGUUUAUUUUCCAAACUUCUUUUGAAGUCAGUGGUCCCUGUCCUUUUUUCCACGUAUCUACUAGGAUAUUGCAGGAGCUCUUGUAAAGUUGUAUGAGCUUUCCACAUACCACAGAGCAGUUUCUCACCCUGGGCACUAUUGAUAUUUAGGGCCAGAUAAUUAUUGGUUUGGGGCUGUCCUGUGAUUGUAGGAUGUUGAGCAGGUCUCUACCAACUGGAUGCCAAUAGCACCACCCCCCUCCCAAGCUGUGACCAACAAAAAUGUCUCUAGAAAUUGCCAAAAGUCCCCUAGAGGCAAAAUUGCCCCAGAUGAAGCAGCACUGCCCUAGAACACAACAGGACUAGCCAUCAACGAUGACAGUCUCUCCAUGUCUGGCACUGCCCUAAGUGCUGUAUCUAUAUUCACACAUCUUGGACCUACAACAAUGCUACAAGUUAGAUACCACUGCCUACCUUUACACAAGGAGAAACUGAGGCACAGAUGAAUUAAGUAACCUGGACGUGCUCACACAUGUGGUAGAGGCAGGAUUUGGAUCCAUCAGUCUGACUUCAAAGUCCGUGCUUUCACCACCACUCCUGGAACCUCUCCCUUCCCAUUAUGGGGUGCCAUGUUUCCAUUUUGUAUCAGAUCCUCUUUUUUUGUUAGUUUUAAUUUUGUAAACAGUUUUACAUAAUCAAAACUGCCCAUCUUUUUCCUUGUGAUGUCUCCUAUUGCUUUAAUUCUCUCAGAAGCAUCCAACUCUUCGACAUACUCGGGAAUUAACUCUCUUUCUACUUAAAAAAAUAAUAAUGUUUUACUCUCCUAUGUCUUAUUUUGGCACAUAGCUCUAACUUAAUUUUUCUCCCUAUUACUAUCUACUUAUUAUAACAUUUAAUAAAGUUUUCUGUAGUCUAAUUUGAUCGUAUAUGUGCUAUUACAAAGUAAAUUGAUCAGAACCUCUACUACAUUUCACUAAACACAUAAAUAAUUUUGGUGUUUAUAUUACACCAUUUAAAUAUUAUUGUUAUAACAUACUCUACUAUCCAUCUGAAAUGAUCUUCUCCCAUCAUUUUUCAUUUUCUUGG